This 930-nucleotide long non-coding RNA is filed under the name Panax ginseng (ginseng). RNAcentral describes it as "long non-coding RNA (PGIN_LNC017336)". The record is from RNAcentral. Lineage: Eukaryota; Viridiplantae; Streptophyta; Magnoliopsida; Apiales; Araliaceae.
GUCUUUCGACCUUUAGAAAGGUGGGAGACUAGAUCAUGUGUAGCUCGCUAGAACUAUGUUGUAUUUUUCCAGUUAGGCUAGUUGGAAACCUUCUGUUGUUUUAGUUACUGCAUCUAGAUUUGCUUAUGCACAUACCUUGCGGUAUGCUAAAUGUGGCGCUUGUUAUAUUUUGCUAAUGUCUCCUUUAUUUAUCCUGUUUGACAGUGCUAAUUGAAGUGAACCCACCUAUUUGAAAGUAAGUUGCUGAUCUUUGAGGAGGUUAAAAUAUUCCAAUUUUUGUUUUCUUCAAAUUUCUUAUUCCUUAAGCUUCUUGUAGUCUACAUCACUCCUUUAGUUAGAGAAAACUUCACCUCAAGUUUUGAAUUAUUGAAACAGAUCUUUGAAAUAUGGCAACUGAAUCAACAAAUAAUAAUUUUGAUGAUUUUGUUUCAUCAUCUAUAUGGUAACUGCUCGGCAAAGAAUAUAUAUGAUGAUGUUAGAACAUCCUUCUUCAUUCUUGUACUAUUAUCUAGUGUAGCAAAGUCAUUUUGUGGCACAAAAAAGGAGUAGGAGUGUCAUUUUCUGGAUUGAAUAAUCACUUUAGUAAACAGCAUGUUCAUUUGUCUGUUACUAUUCACUUCUUUAAUAAGUUCUUCAUGCUCUUCUUGGUUGGAUCCAACUAUAAUAUGUGAAAAUUAAUAAAUCUGUUGAUUCUGUUUUUAUUUUCUUGCUGGCUUCUUUUCAUCAUUUAUUUCCCUUGUUUCUGUGGUACUAUCCAACUUUAACAUGACAUGCUUAUGGCCAAGUACUAAUCUUUGUCAGUACAAGCUUGCUGAGAUUAAGAAGUGAUGCUUUUCUGUAUCAAUCAUUUGUUGGUUUAGUGGUAAGUGAGUCGUUUACUUGCUGAAAGCCUGUGCGAUUCCCACCCACAGUGGAGUAAGGGUGUUCACU